GUGAGGAAUAUUGGUCAAUGGACGGAAGUCUGAACCAGCCAUGCCGCGUGCAGGAAUAAGGUCCUAUGGAUUGUAAACUGCUUUUAUUCGGGAAUAACCUCUUUACGUGUAGGGAGCUGAAGGUACCGAAGGAAUAAGCACCGGCUAACUCCGUGCCAGCAGCCGCGGUAAUACGGAGGGUGCAAGCGUUAUCCGGAAUCAUUGGGUUUAAAGGGUCCGCAGGCGGGCUAUCAAGUCAGAGGUGAAAUCCCACAGCUUAACUGUGGAACUGCCUUUGAAACGGAUGGUCUUGAAUUAAGUGGGCGUUGGCGGAAUAUGACAUGUAGCGGUGAAAUGCAUAGAUAUGUCAUGGAACACCGAAAGCGAAGGCAGCUAACGAUACUUAUAUUGACGCUCAUGGACGAAAGCGUGGGUAGCGAACAGGAUUAGAUACCCGGGUAGUCC
This 444-nucleotide ribosomal RNA is filed under the name uncultured bacterium. RNAcentral describes it as "partial 16S ribosomal RNA". It matches the Rfam family "Bacterial small subunit ribosomal RNA", at positions 354 to 796 of the family's 1533-position model. The record is from RNAcentral.